CCCCUGGAGGUCCAGUGGUUAGGACUUGGUGCUUUCACUCCCAAUGGUCUGGGUUCAAUCCCUGGCUGGGGAA
RNAcentral lists this transfer RNA (73 nucleotides) under Ovis aries (sheep). It matches the Rfam family "tRNA". Rfam says of the family: Transfer RNA (tRNA) molecules are approximately 80 nucleotides in length. Lineage: Eukaryota; Metazoa; Chordata; Mammalia; Artiodactyla; Bovidae. The record is from Rfam by way of RNAcentral.